UAUGGAGGUUUGCUCGGGAGCAGAGAGGUCUGGCCAGCAACUCUUGAGAAAGUGGAUACAGUAUUUGGAUUUAAGUUGCAGUGUUUCAGAACAGUUUGUUACAUCUCUUCACCUACUUGAGGGGGAGAGAGUGAGCUAAUGGAGAUACUUUCUGCAAACUCUUGAUGUGUUCAUUACCUGACUGGCUGACAACCAACGCUGUGG
RNAcentral lists this long non-coding RNA (204 nucleotides) under Coturnix japonica (Japanese quail). RNAcentral's name for it is "lncRNA (ENSCJPG00005014653.1)". Lineage: Eukaryota; Metazoa; Chordata; Aves; Galliformes; Phasianidae. The record is from RNAcentral.